RNAcentral lists this ribosomal RNA (253 nucleotides) under uncultured prokaryote. Its description in RNAcentral is "partial 16S ribosomal RNA". It matches the Rfam family "Bacterial small subunit ribosomal RNA", at positions 524 to 776 of the family's 1533-position model. RNAcentral also lists the same sequence under 1 other name. The record is from RNAcentral.
UACGUAGGGGGCAAGCGUUGUCCGGAAUCACUGGGCGUAAAGCGUGCGUAGGCGGUUUGUUAAGUUCGGGGUGAAAGUCCAAGGCUCAACCUUGGGAAUGCCUUGAAAACUGGCAGACUUGAGUACUGGAGAGGCAAGGGGAAUUCCACGUGUAGCGGUGAAAUGCGUAGAUAUGUGGAGGAAUACCAGUGGCGAAGGCGCCUUGCUGGACAGUGACUGACGCUGAGGCACGAAAGCGUGGGGAGCAAACAGG